GCUCAAUCUCUAGUUUUCACUUACUAUUGAGAAAUCAUAUAUAUAUAAAAGAGAAAAAAGUGGGAAUUUAUCUUAUAGCAUUAAUGGGUAAAACCCAUUAUAUAGUGCCUAUAGAGUCCUCUUAAGAAGCAGUUCAUUCAAAAACGGACUAUAAUGUUCACCUGUCACUCUGAGAACUUUCUUCCUGGGUAUCAAUUUUCUUAUGGGAAGUGAGUAUAGAGUAACAGCAGCAUUGUUUGUCAAUGUCCUCCUGUGAUUGUUAGCAAUGCAUCCUUGCACAUAUUGUUUCAGACAAAAAAUUAGUAUUUUGCAUUAGAAGAGGAUAAUUAGGCAAUAAGAUACAAAAGCGAGUGUGGUUAUCAUGAGAUAAACACACACAUGGGGUGUUAUGAGGCACAGCCAAGUGUCUGUAAUCCCUCUAGGGUAUGAUUAUCUCGUGAUAACCACACACCCUGGAGUUGCCUUAUUGCUAUUAUAAAAUAUCUUUAUUAUAGGAAGAAAUGUGCAUUUUUGUGCAGAAAGGAGACGGAGCUGGCAUUUAGAAUGCCGAACAGCAGUUUCAGCUGAGCUAUGUGGUUUACAUAGAUUAAUCUAUCCCAUUGGAAUGUUUCCCCAGCCAAAAAAAUGUUCCCUAAAUCCAAGCAGUCAUAAUCUGUAGUGAUGUGCAGCUAUUUGGAGCAUUUGAGAAAUUCCCUGCCUGGUUCUUAGGCUGUUGGUUUGAUGGUUGCAUGGGGUGAAUUCUGAGAUGCACAAUGACAAGAAGCUACAGUAUUGUGGAAGCUUGGUGUUCUGGGAACCCAAAUUGUGAUGCAUGCAAAUGUCAAAAUUCUGUACAAUAAUUUUAUCUGUUUUCUCGAUCAGAGUAAAUGUCUUAAAAUCCUUAUGAAAACAGCAUCUCACAACAGAAAUGUUCCUAAGGGAGAGAAAUUAUUAAGGUGGAAACAAGAAGAUGGAGAUGAAACUCAAAAUCGUGCGGAAGGAGUUGAUGAAUGUCACAGGACUCCUUCCAUUCAACCAUCUUCCAGUGUGACUGUUCUGGGAAUUGGCACUGAGUUUAUGGUGCCUUGUCACUACCAAUAGUGACUUCCAUUGAGUUAUUUCCUGCUACUGUCCUCUGCAAGUAGGACCUGUGUGUCCAUGCCUGCUAAUGCUAGCCCCUCAUUCCACAACACUGGUCCUGAUGCCAGCUACACCUGCCCCAGCACCACUCAGGUGAGUGUUACCAUUGGAACUGCCUCCCAGUCCUGCCUCCCAGUCCUGCCUUGUCUAUAGACUUGGAAGGCUGGACUCAACUAGUUCCGUACUGCUUUCAUCAUCAAGUCUUACAGACUCUGGGUUAAAACAUGUUUCUUGUUGAUAAUUUUUAGCUUUCUCUCUCCUGAAGAUUCAGAUAGCUGUGACGGCUGACUCCAUGUUAUCCUCAGCAUGCUCCUUUCCUUUAACGAUGGAAAAAAUGCUGUGGGAUUCUAUUUUUGCCCUUGGUUUCCUCUUACAAUUCUUUUUCAGAACCAUCCUCUCCUCGUCCCAACUUUCAGACAAGGAAACAUACAAGUAUACAGAUAUAGUUUGGUCAAACUGUGGCAGACACCGCUAAUUUCCUCCCAGCAUCUGUUUGCUUCUUCUUCAUUUCAGCAAUAGAACCUCCCCACUGAUGAUCCACCUCUGGGUCUCAGCAGGGCAUGUGGCAAGUUAGCUAGGCACCAUAUUUCCCAGCCUCCCUUAGGAUAAGGUGUGAUUCAGUGACUAGGUUCUUUCAACAGGCUUGACAGAAAGUAAUAUCUUAAGGUUUGACCUUAAAGACUAUGCCACAUACGUUAAUUUCCUUCUCUCUUCCUGUAUUCUUCUCUGGGCUAGAAAAUGGCAACAGCUGGAGCAGGUACCUUGAGCCCAGAGAUGGAAACCACAUAUCCAGGAUGAAUCUAGCAGCCUGUGUACUAAAGAUCCUGUGGACAAAGUAAGUGAAGCCUCCAGCCUUACUGCUAAUCUCUGAACUGUUAUGACAGGGAAACAGGCCUCUAAUUUGUUUGUUCCAUUCCAUUAUUGAGUAUUAUAGCAUUUGAUAUGUAUUCUUUUUUAUUAUUAUUAUUUUGAGAGGGGGGGUGGGAGAGGGAGACAGAGAAUCUAAAGCAGGCUCCGCACUGUCAACAAAGAGCCCAAUGUGGGGGUCUAUCUCACAAACUGCAAGAUCAUAACCUGAGCUGAAAUCAAGAGUCAGAUGCUUAACCAAAUGAGCCACCCAGUCUCAUUCAAACCAAUAUAGUAUUGGUCUGUAUUCAAACCAUUAUAGUAGGGUUGAGAGGAGAAGAGACAUCUGAUAUAUAUUUUAUCAUAUACAGAAAGUGUAAUGUAUUGAAGAAUCCAAUCUUUCUUUUUCUUAACAUUUCAAAUUUGUAUCUAAACUCUAGUUAAUAAACAGUGUAAUAUUAAUUUCA
This 2432-nucleotide long non-coding RNA is filed under the name Felis catus (domestic cat). RNAcentral describes it as "lncRNA (ENSFCAG00000048127.1)". Lineage: Eukaryota; Metazoa; Chordata; Mammalia; Carnivora; Felidae. The record is from RNAcentral.